This 191-nucleotide non-coding RNA is filed under the name uncultured Prevotella sp. Lineage: Bacteria; Pseudomonadati; Bacteroidota; Bacteroidia; Bacteroidales; Prevotellaceae. The record is from RNAcentral.
CAUUCGGUUCACCUCUUGCAGCGUGAUUAAAAGGGAAUCGGGUGAAAAUCCCGAACUGUCCCGCAGCUGUGAGCCGCCAUUAUGGUAACAAGCGAUGUGCCACUGGAGGAAUCGUUUACGGUUUACAGUUUACAGAGAUCUGGGAAGGUGCUUGUUGCCGGCGGCGAAGUCAGAAGACCUGCCGAAGAGCC